AUAUUAAAAUAAUAUUAAAAAAAUCGGAAUGAUACAGAGAAGACUUGUAUGCCCCCUGUGUAAGGAUGGCAUGCAAAUUUAUAAAGCAUUAAAAAAAAAU
This 100-nucleotide small nuclear RNA is filed under the name Myotis lucifugus (little brown bat). Lineage: Eukaryota; Metazoa; Chordata; Mammalia; Chiroptera; Vespertilionidae. The record is from RNAcentral.